This 665-nucleotide ribosomal RNA is filed under the name Triticum aestivum (bread wheat). RNAcentral describes it as "partial small subunit ribosomal RNA". The record is from RNAcentral. Lineage: Eukaryota; Viridiplantae; Streptophyta; Magnoliopsida; Poales; Poaceae.
GUGUUAGGGAGCGCGGCGGCGUGUGUGUCUCCGCUCUACGGAGCACGAACUUGGGGGGAGUGUCGGAGAGGAUGGAAGCAAGCGAGGACCGAGGCGGUUCGGCGCGGCGACGGUACGGAGCCACGAUCGGAAGGUACAGGGGAACCGGGGCUGCGGCGGGAGACGGAGGUUGGCGGCCGCGGAGCAGCAGGAAGCACGCGGGCGCGGGUUCCUUAGCGGCGGUUGGUCUCGUUGGAGCGGCAGCGGGCUUCGACGGAGCGGCCUGGCGAAGGAGUGGCCUAGAGGAGGGGAGGCAGCGAGCAGGGGUAGGAGGAGGUGCGACCUGCGGUAGCUCGGUGAGGCGGGGGAAGGGAUGUAGCUUAUGCUACCUCGGGUCCUCGGUCUGCGGUGGCAACUGCUACUCAGGAUGAUGUGGCCUCCACGGAUGAUGAUACACGUCGGGCGAUUACCGCUGGUCCUCAUCAAUCCUCCUAGGGUCCGUCCUCCGGACGCGGAGAAGGCUAGACAUAGGGUCAAACACGAUCGGAAGAAUUCCGUUUGAACAAAUUGAAUACAGACGUGAAUCUAUAACGACGAAGGCGACUGAGCAAAUACUAGCUCGAGAACAUAAGCUCGGGAGCUCCGGGGACCAAACAUUAUACUACGAACAUACUGAAUAAAAUAAA